GCUAAGGUAGCGUAAUCAGUUGUUUUUUAAUUGAGGACUAGUAUGAAAGGUUAAACAAAUUAGUCAUGUUUGACAGACUUAAUAGAAAAUUAAAGUUAAGGUAAGAAUUCUUUAAUUGUUUAGGGGACGAUAAGACCCUAGAAGCUUUAAAAAAUAAAAAUUAUUAUAAAAAAGAGUAUUUUUUUACUGGGGCGGUUUCAGUAUUUAACCUACUGCUAUUUUGGCGGAUCCUUAAUAUAAAGAUAUGACGGUUAAGUUACUCUAGGGAUAA
This 271-nucleotide ribosomal RNA is filed under the name Gammarus sp. Gsp5b. RNAcentral's name for it is "partial 16S ribosomal RNA". Lineage: Eukaryota; Metazoa; Arthropoda; Malacostraca; Amphipoda; Gammaridae. The record is from RNAcentral.